This 284-nucleotide ribosomal RNA is filed under the name uncultured soil bacterium. Its description in RNAcentral is "partial 16S ribosomal RNA". It matches the Rfam family "Bacterial small subunit ribosomal RNA", at positions 27 to 339 of the family's 1533-position model. The record is from RNAcentral.
GGAGCGAACGCUGGCGGCAGGCCUAAUACAUGCAAGUCGAGCGGCCACUUCGGUGGCAGCGGCGGACGGGUGAGUAACGCGUGGGAAUGUGCCCUUUGGUACGGAACAACUGAGGGAAACUUCAGCUAAUACCGUAUGUGCCCUUCGGGGGAAAGAUUUAUCGCCAUUGGAGCAGCCCGCGUUGGAUUAGCUAGUUGGUGGGGUAAAGCCCACCAAGGCGACGAUCCAUAGCUGGUCUGAGAGGAUGAUCAGCCACACUGGGACUGAGACACGGCCCAGACUCC